UCCGUAGGUGAACCUGCGGAGGGAUCAUUACCGAGUUGAUUCGGGCUCCGGCCCGAUCCUCCCACCCUUUGUGUACCUACCUCUGUUGCUUUGGCGGGCCGCGGUUCUCCGCGGCCGCCCCCCUCCCCGGGGGGUGGCCAGCGCCCGCCAGAGGACCAUCAAACUCCAGUCAGUAAACGAUGCAGUCUGAAAAACAUUUAAUAAACUAAAACUUUCAACAACGGAUCUCUUGGUUCUGGCAUCGAUGAAGAACGCAGCGAAAUGCGAUAAGUAAUGUGAAUUGCAGAAUUCAGUGAAUCAUCGAAUCUUUGAACGCACAUUGCGCCCUUUGGUAUUCCGAAGGGCAUGCCUGUUCGAGCGUCAUUACAACCCUCAAGCUCUGCUUGGUAUUGGGCACCGUCCUUUGCGGGCGCGCCUCAAAGACCUCGGCGGUGGCGUCUUGCCUCAAGCGUAGUAGAACAUACAUCUCGCUUCGGAGCGCAGGGCGUCGCCCGCCGGACGAACCUUCUGAACUUUUCUCAAGGUUGACCUCGGAUCAGGUAGGGAUACCCGCUGAACUUAAGCAUAUCAAUAAGCGGAGGA
RNAcentral lists this ribosomal RNA (582 nucleotides) under Botryosphaeria dothidea. RNAcentral's name for it is "eukaryotic LSU rRNA". The stretch from base 210 to 363 matches the Rfam family "5.8S ribosomal RNA". Lineage: Eukaryota; Fungi; Ascomycota; Dothideomycetes; Botryosphaeriales; Botryosphaeriaceae. The record is from RNAcentral.